RNAcentral lists this ribosomal RNA (942 nucleotides) under Burkholderia sp. Ind_2c_pre. RNAcentral describes it as "bacterial SSU rRNA". It matches the Rfam family "Bacterial small subunit ribosomal RNA", at positions 316 to 1257 of the family's 1533-position model. The record is from RNAcentral. Lineage: Bacteria; Pseudomonadati; Pseudomonadota; Betaproteobacteria; Burkholderiales; Burkholderiaceae.
GGACUGAGACACGGCCCAGACUCCUACGGGAGGCAGCAGUGGGGAAUUUUGGACAAUGGGCGCAAGCCUGAUCCAGCAAUGCCGCGUGUGUGAAGAAGGCCUUCGGGUUGUAAAGCACUUUUGUCCGGAAAGAAAACCUNNGCCCUAAUACGGUGGGGGGAUGACGGUACCGGANGAAUAAGCACCGGCUAACUACGUGCCAGCAGCCGCGGUAAUACGUAGGGUGCAAGCGUUAAUCGGAAUUACUGGGCGUAAAGCGUGCGCAGGCGGUCCGCUAAGACAGAUGUGAAAUCCCCGGGCUUAACCUGGGAACUGCAUUUGUGACUGGCGGGCUAGAGUAUGGCAGAGGGGGGUAGAAUUCCACGUGUAGCAGUGAAAUGCGUAGAGAUGUGGAGGAAUACCGAUGGCGAAGGCAGCCCCCUGGGCCAAUACUGACGCUCAUGCACGAAAGCGUGGGGAGCAAACAGGAUUAGAUACCCUGGUAGUCCACGCCCUAAACGAUGUCAACUAGUUGUCGGGUCUUCAUUGACUUGGUAACGUAGCUAACGCGUGAAGUUGACCGCCUGGGGAGUACGGUCGCAAGAUUAAAACUCAAAGGAAUUGACGGGGACCCGCACAAGCGGUGGAUGAUGUGAUUAAUUCGAUGCAACGCGAAAAACCUUACCUACCCUUGACAUGUAUGGAAUCCUGCUGAGAGGUGGGAGUGCCCGAAAGGGAGCCAUAACACAGGUGCUGCANGGCUGUCGUCAGCUCGUGUCGUGAGAUGUUGGGUUAAGUCCCGCAACGAGCGCAACCCUUGUCCCUAGUUGCUACGCAAGAGCACUCUAGGGAGACUGCCGGUGACAAACCGGAGGAAGGUGGGGANGACGUCAAGUCCUCAUGGCCCUUAUGNGUAGGGCUUCACACGUCAUACAAUGGUCGGAACAGAGGGUCGCCAACCCG